GAUGAACGCUGGCGGCGUGCCUAAUACAUGCCAGUCGAGCGAACGGACGAGAAGCUUGCUUCUCUGAUGUUAGCGGCGGACGGGUGAGUAACACGUGGAUAACCUACCUAUAAGACUGGGAUAACUUCGGGAAACCGGAGCUAAUACCGGAUAAUAUUUUGAACCGCAUGGUUCAAAAGUGAAAGACGGUCUUGCUGUCACUUAUAGAUGGAUCCGCGCUGCAUUAGCUAGUUGGUAAGGUAACGGCUUACCAAGGCAACGAUGCAUAGCCGACCUGAGAGGGUGAUCGGCCACACUGGAACUGAGACACGGUCCAGACUCCUACGGGAGGCAGCAGUAGGGAAUCUUCCGCAAUGGGCGAGAGCCUGACGGAGCAACGCCGCGUGAGUGAUGAAGGUCUUCGGAUCGUAAAACUCUGUUAUUAGGGAAGAACAUAUGUGUAAGUAACUGUGCACAUCUUGACGGUACCUAAUCAGAAAGCCACGGCUAACUACGUG
RNAcentral lists this ribosomal RNA (497 nucleotides) under uncultured bacterium. RNAcentral's name for it is "partial 16S ribosomal RNA". It matches the Rfam family "Bacterial small subunit ribosomal RNA", at positions 28 to 507 of the family's 1533-position model. The record is from RNAcentral.